RNAcentral lists this ribosomal RNA (253 nucleotides) under uncultured bacterium. RNAcentral describes it as "partial 16S ribosomal RNA". It matches the Rfam family "Bacterial small subunit ribosomal RNA", at positions 524 to 776 of the family's 1533-position model. The record is from RNAcentral.
UACGAAGGGGGCUAGCGUUAUUCGGAAUUAUUGGGCGUAAAGGGCGCGUAGGCGGCUUUGCAAGUGACGGGUGAAAUCCCUCGGCUUAACCGAGGAACUGCCUGUCAAACUGCAUGGCUUGAGACCGGGAGAGGUGAGUGGAAUUCCCAGUGUAGCGGUGAAAUGCGUAGAUAUUGGGAGGAACACCAGUGGCGAAGGCGGCUCACUGGACCGGUACUGACGCUGAUGCGCGAAAGCGUGGGGAGCAAACAGG